Parus major (Great Tit) is the source of this 7408-nucleotide long non-coding RNA. RefSeq lists it as uncharacterized. Lineage: Eukaryota; Metazoa; Chordata; Aves; Passeriformes; Paridae. The record is from RefSeq and is a predicted model, not a curated record. The transcript has 3 exons.
AUUUAUGUUUUAUCUGUCACUACAUUUUCAGUAAAGUUGGGCAGCGAGCCUUAACGGAGCGAAGGCUGUUAUCACCUCUCCUUAGCCCUUUAAGUGCAGCAGGCUCUUUGGUGUCUCUCGCUGAAUGCCGCUUUGUUAAUUGCGACGGGAAACAGGACCCGGCGCUGAGCAUCGCCGCGCUCUGCCCGGGCGGCACUCGCCACAAACCCGCCGGAUUUGGGAGAGGAGCCCGAGCCCAGGAGUCACACACACGGAAGAGGGUUCGUAGAAGUACUCAGCGUUUCCUGGACUUGCUUCUAUCAUGUAAAAUGUACCGCAUACCUUGAACAAUGUGAAAUCAGUGCAUCUUUUUGAGGGCUAUUUAUGUUGUAGAGGAACUGAGAGGGGAAGGUAAGAGAAGCAUGCAUGUUGCUUUCCAGUGCAGAGAGUCUGCAUUUUUAUCCCCCCACUAUAUAUCAAUGGAUAGAGAAUUCAUUCAUUUGGAACUUACUAAAUGGUGCCAGAAGGCAACAGAAAAUAAUAGCUUAGCUGUAUGAAUGAUACGCAGUUUAUGCCCAGAGUCUGUUAUAAUUUGUUGGGACUUCAGGGUUUAAAAGACAGAUUUUUCAGAAUUUCUGAUAAUCCAAAGUCUAUGCCAACAAGGUUCCAGGGUCACUAGUUAAAAUUAAAAUUCUCCUUUAUGGGUAGAAUAUGCUAUAGCAUGCAUUUGUAGUUGCUGUUCUCAUAUUAGUAGGCAGGAAUAACUCUGUUAUUCUCUGAAAAUAUCUGAAUAAUUUUUCUUCCUUUCUGUUUGAGGAUUCUUGAUUUCCACACAAUCAUCCAUGACAGACUUCUACUGAAAUAUUUUUUUCAAAUCUUUCUGACCAACCACUGCCCUAAAUUCAGGGUUUUGUUAACUUCUCUUUGCUGUUAUUCCUGCUCCCCGUCUGGCUAAACAUAAAAAUUUUCUUUCCUGAUAAGUAGCUUUAAUGGAAUAAGCGCUACAGACCAAACAGAGAGAUCUGUGACCCCAUCUGGAUUUCAGGCUCUCAGUGCAAGCCAGUACCACAGCUUCAGGGGGAUUUGAGCCACACGAGCCCAGGAUGCCGGUGAGAGGCACUGCAGCUCUCCCUGUUUCUCCAGCGAGGUCCACCCGCUGUCCCCGUGUCUGGUCCAGCAUCACACGUGUUCACAAGCUGUGCCACACCACUCCAGCCUGUCCUGCAGCCCAUUCCCCACACCUGUGCUACGGGGCAGGGAGCAGAUUUAGGAUGUGGCUACUCGCAAUCUUUCUCUGUUGCAGCAAUUUCUGGUAGCUGGCUUUGAUAUUUAUCUUCUCUAGGCAAGUGUCCGUGACCAGACAUUUAAACUUUUAAUUUUUAACCAAGUGGCCUGCUUCCAAGCAUCGUCGGAAUUCCUGGGAAAUCAGUGGGCUUUCCAGUACUUCCCAUUGAAAAGUCAUGCUUGCCUGUAAUCCCAUGCUGGGACGAAGAGCACUAACUGAAGUGCAUAUGAGAAAUAGCAAGGGGCAUUUUUACCUCAGAAGCCAAUGAAAGAAAAGGAGUUUAAGCGACAGGAGACUUUGGGGCUUCUGUUUUGUUGCAGUGUGAACAGAGCCAGAGGGCAAAUUCUUCCCUCCUGUUCAGUCUCAUUAUUCUGCCCUCUGUAUAUCCCACCAACCCACUGACAUCCAGAGCAGGGAAAGGAAAAACACACUUCUGGGACCUAGCAGGAGAGCUCCCUAUUCUUCUGUAUGUGUGAGUCUGGUAUAAGCCAAAUCAAAGCGCAUAAUUAAAAUAUUUUCUCCUUUAUAUGUUUUCUGUGAUACAAGUUCUUUGAGGAUUCAAAAUGCCGGGAGGGAUUGCCAGUGUUUCAUCUGGUUAGCUUACGUGCUGAUUGAUGACUUUGAUAAUAUGUGUAGUUUAAUGAUAUUUACACUGUUUGUCCAGUUAGGUAUAUUAAAAGAAUGUUGAGAAAAUAGUAGACGUGCUAAAAUCCUAUGGUAACAGCUCAUACGUUAGUGGUGUUUUGUUGUGAACAAAGUCAUUUUUCAGCCAAGUCAUAAAGUAGCCUAAAAACAAGUGUGGCACUGUUUGCUUCAAAUGAGACUGUUGCCAUGUGACCACCAUUCAUCUGACAUCAUUACUGACAUAGCUUUCCUUAGUAUGAUAUCUGAUUAAGGCUCCCAGCCGUGGUGGAGCCAGACUAAGUAGUCUGAGUGAGGUGGCUGAGGAAAGUUAAUGUGUCAAUGUUACUACUGGGGGAGAGCUUCUGCUCAAACUUUCCUUCGGAGAAUGAGGAUAGAAAUGGCUGAAGGUCUUUCUAAUGGGAAUCUUCUGAAAAUAUUUGAAGAUCUGGUAGUAAUUAACAAUGUGCUGAACUCCAAAGAGAGAUGUAAUUAGUUCAGCAAAACAUAGAGAUUUCCUUCUGUGUGAGGAAAUGCAAAUAUAGAGAAGAACUGAAAAAAGAAAAAUUAGCUAAGAAAUGAAAUUAAUCACACAUUUGCAGAAAUCAAUUCAUUAAAUAUCUGUGUAGCAUGUGAAUAUAUUUCUGGCUUGUACAUGUAAAUAAACAAUUAACCUUUUUUUAGCAUCUAAAUUUCUCUUUUAUUAAAAAAAAUAGAACGUUUGAGGUAUUCUUGUUACCUCAGGAAAAGAUAGUUUUCAACAGGUACAGUGAAAAAUAAUUUGCAAUGUCUGUCUAAGGUGGGAUAAAUUCCACUAUUUCUGUUUUGGCUUUUGAAAUCCACAAAGAUUACCACUUAAUCUAGUAAUCUGGAAAACAUACUGACUAGCCUGCUGUUUUUUGAAAGCAUAAGGAUUAGCCUGAAAAAAUAUCAUAAAGUAAUUUUCUUUAUGAUGGAAUGAAUGGAAUGAUGAAAUAAUUUUUUUUAGUAAUUCCAUUUCCUAAGUCUGUUGUUGCUCUGUGCUCCAAUUUUGGUUAUGAAUAAGGGACUGCUACUAAUAUUGUUCAAUUUUCCCUUUUAAAAUUAGAAUAUGGUAGGUUGUUUCCAUUGCACAGAUGCCUUAAUGCUUGAUAUAUCUAUUAUACUUUGAAGUGCUGUGGGAUUAAGACCCAUCUUAGACUGGUAUGGGACUCAGAUCCACAACAAAGACCUCCAAAGUGCUUCAAGUAUUACCUUCUCCUACUUGAUGCUCAAGUGAUUUAGGAACAUUUACAUUGUCAGGGGUGACAGGGAAGCAUAAACCAAAAAAGUUUUAGUGGGAAGUAUGAUUCCUUGUGCCUAGAUCAUCUUGGGAAAAGGAUUUAGGUCAAAGAGAGGAGUUAAGGGUUUGACACUGGAAAGAGGUAACACUCUCCAGUAGGUUACAUAUAGUUUUAACAAGCACUUUUAGGUGAUGGAAAUCUUUAAUUUAUAGAUUAUAGAUUUAUAAAUGUAUAGAUUAUAAUACUAAAUGAUGGUCUGACCCAUAGUAUCUGGGCACUGACUUUGUCUAGAUGACCAAGAGUCAGCAGUUCAGGAGGUGCACUGCAUUUGCAUGGCACUUUUUCUUAAAAGCACCAUCAAGUGAUACAAGCCACUGCAAAUUCAAAAAGGGAAAAAAACAAAGGAUAUGGCUUCAAGUCAAAUUGCUCAGAUGAGUCUUAUUUUUUCUUGUACGAAUAUACCUGAAGAAAAAUAGAGCCUAUUUCUAAGAAAUACUGAAAUAUUCUUGGUAUGAGUUACUCACCCAUAUUCAAAAUCUUUAAUGGUCUAAAUUCUGUAUCAUUUGGCUUGUGGCCAGCCAAUAGUAAAGGCCAAGAUUUAAUGGGGGAUUAAAUUGUUGCUAUUUGAACAUUAAUUCUUCAAUAAAACAAAUGAAAUGAAUGGAUAGACUUAUACAUUGAGCUGCAGUUUAUUUUUGCAAGAAAAUGUAGUAGAGUCUGCUUUAUCUUCACAUAGUUUGCAAAAAUUUAAUAAAAGGUAUUUGUUUCUGCUCAAAGGAAUAAUGAUAAAAUCACUUCAAAACUGCUGGAAAAAUGCUGGCUAUUAAUCUGCUACAGCCUUUUAAAUGACUGAUCAUACACAUUUAAUCUUCUUUUCCUUUAAUUAGAACAGGUUGUAAUGUGAUAGAUCCAUUUGACAUUAGACUCAGCAACACAUUACUUAGAUGAAAUCACACUUAAGAGUACUGCAGGCUGGAUCUGAGUAGCUCAGCUGAUAAGGCACUGGUUUGUCAUCUACAAGACAACAGUUCAAGACUUCUCUGAUUUCUUAAGUCAAAUUAAUUUAGUUAUGUCAGCUAUGCUGCCAUAAGAUGAUAAUCCAAGCUGCAUGGAUGCCAGGCAUACUAUUACCUUCUUUGGCUAGAUUGAAACUGUGUCAGAAACACUGGGGGUAGCUAGAAUUCAUUGCAGGUGUGGUGAGAAAAAUGGACCACAUGAAUUUCAAGAAUUCUAAAAUAAGUGUCAAUAUAUAAUUGCUCCUUCAAUUCAACAGGUCUAUGUUUUUUUAUUUCCUGUCAGACCCAGAGUGAAACAUGUCACACCCACUUGAACUCUGGUUGGACCUAGGAUCUAUCUAUUAAGUUUACUUAAAAUAACCCCUCAACAAUCUCACUGGAACCCCCAUGUUGCUGCCUUCUCUGUGCAGAGCUCUAGCAUGCAUUAUUAUCAUGACUCAGCAGAGGAAUUAGUCACUUUGUGUGUUUCUAGGCUCAACCAACACAUUGCAAACCAUUCCUCUGAAGCCACACAGUCUCCACUGAAAAACUCUCUUCUAGGGUGCCUAUUUCCUCUAUGAAUUUCCACUGUGACAGUAAAUCUUUACAGGAGAGAUAUGAGGAUAACAGGGCCUAAAUGCUUACAGAGAAAACACAAACAUUCUUGGGCAAAAGUGACUCACUCGGUGAGAGAUAAAGGGGCUGGAAUUUUCCUAAGGAAAUGUCUUAUUAACUUAUGUUUUAUGUCCCUAUCUCUGUCAGAAAAAAACUGUCAUUCUCUCUUACUUCUCCAACAACUUCCAUUUCACCCAAAAUUUUGUAGAGGGAGAAAAUAUAAAAAUAUCCCCCAGUUUUGUCAAAAUAUGUGGCUGGAUAGGGAAACAAAGUCUUUUAUCAGUCCCACUGAUAAAAAAAAAAUAAUAAAAAUCAGCAUGAAUGAUUUGUAUGGAUAUUCAGAAUAUCCACUGAUGAAAAUAUUGUGAUGAAGAUUCUGCAACACAUAUACCCACUGUACUCCCUGCACUGUGCAUAGAUUUCCAUCCCAAAGUAGUAAGUCUGCUGUUUUGUGAAUGUCUAUGAGAGCAUGUUGACAGAAAUCAGCAUAAAAUAAGAAUGAAAUAAUUCUGAUACUGGAAUGAACUGCCCAGAUUUAUGUCACAUUUCAGAAACCUGGAAACACUGGUACCAUUCAGUGACCUUAAAUCUGAAACUAGUGAUGCUAAAAUAACAUCCCGCUCUAUUUUAAUGCCAAGAGAAGGUAUUUAAGCAUGUUGCAAAAGAUUAUGAUAUCAGAGACAGAAAGAGGGGUGCAAAUACAAGUUUGGAAAUAGUGUUGACUGUAGAGAUUCGCAGUUUAGUGAACUUCAAGCGAGGCAACUAAGCUCAGGUGGAAGAUAACUGAUCUCCUGAAAGCAUGCCAUGAGCCACUGUCAUGCUGUUUCCAAGAGACCUUCUUUGUUAUGGAGGUAUGUAAUUGAAUUUCUUAUUCACAAUUAAUAAAUAUACUUUACAUUAGCCUUCUCGUGUAACUUCUGCAUUCAUAUCUCAGUUAUAGGAUUUAGUGAGCUGGUAGCGUAUCUUCAGUUUUUGCAACAGCCUCAGUGAUGAUCAAAUUUCUCAGGAAUGAUUUUCCACAAUCCUUCAGAGCUUGUAAAACUUGUACAUUUAUCAUAGAGCAAAUAAUCUGGUAAGCAGCCAAGCCUUCAUUUUCCGUCAAAGAAUACUAAAAAGAAUCCAAUUCCAGGAAUCUGAUGCAAAUGUGUUUUCUGUGAACUGCUGUGUAUCCAUGCGCAGUUUAGAAGACGACAUGGGAGAAGUUAUUUAAUGAGUAAAAUAUUGUUGUUUCUCCCCCUUUCUCCACCAGAAUUCUACAUAUCAACUUUUCCAAGACACAUAUGCUCUUUUUAAUGACUUGAAAUACUUUCCUAAUGAUUAAAUUCUGCUUAGCUCUAGUAGACUCUUCCAGAACUUUUAUAAGCCAACAAAAUGUAUGCAUCUGAUGAUAGGCUGUAAACAUUCAUUUGUAGGUCACUAAAAGCAAUGCUUGGAAAACUGAACUGUCCAUAACCAACUUUGCUUAACAGCUUGUGUGAUAUUCACUCCUAAAAUUAUGUCUUGUGACUCAAUAAAGACUUUUGGCAGUGCAUAAGUGCUGCCCAGUUGUCCAAGAUGUCCAGCUACUUGGAACUGUGAUGUCUAAAUUUUUUAGUUGCAUUUCCACAGUGCUUCUGAGUCAUGAAAUUCAAGUUGUCUUGAAAUUCAGUAGGCUGCUUGACCUCAAGAUGGAACUUCUUAAAGAUUUGAAAAGUGAAAAUCAAUCAUAUAAUGUGAAAGUAGUGUUUUCAUGCUGGUAGGGAUUUUUGAUUUCUAUACUUUUCAAUGACUUCCAGACACAAAAAUGGGAUAAUUUUAUUAGUGUGAAGCAGAAGGCUACUGUCUGGCACCUUAGAUCUCAGGAGCUUCAGGAGAUAACUGGCAUUUAUACAUUCAGGUGACUGGAUAAAGACCAGCUGGGCCAAAACCAAACAAUGACACGAGGUACUAUCUCCAGUGCAACUUUUAUGGCUGCUCUGGAAAGCUCCUUUUAUUUCUUUGGUAGACUCUCAGCCAUUAUCUGCUCACACAUAAGAUUAAUUUGCUGCCUUUGAGGUAUGCAGGCAGUAGAAAGUAGCAAUAGUAGAAUUAAACAGUCUGGAGAGCAUGGCUGUUCCCCAAGCAAGGUUUUUCUUGUGUUUUGAACUGAAUAUGUGUCUAUGGGUUUCUGGAACACUUUGGCACUUAUCAGCUGAACCACUUCCUGAUGGUCAUCUUAUAAAAGGAGCAACUGGGGCUGGUGUUGGAUUUUGCUUUACCAUGCUACUCAGAAGCUAAUGACAUGACCAGGGAGGAAAAAAAAUAAAAUAAACUGCUAUGGACAUUUUGUGGAAGUUUCUUGAAUGUUGUAUAAUUUUCUUAUAUGAGCAGUGGAGGGUUUUUUUUGCAGAUUUUUACUGAUAUGUACAGAUUCCAUUAAAAUAUGAAAUUUCUCAAACUCCAAAUCAGAAUGGUUCAUAGUCACUUAAUGGUAUUUCAAAGUUCUUUGCUAAUAUUUUGUACUUUGAACCUCCAAAAGAACCAUGCAAAUAAAAGUUUUAAAAAAACCCCAGCAACACAGCCCAAAGCAAAAACCUGGAUGUAACUUUUGUUUUCAACAUUACAAUUUGUAGUUCUUUGGAAUAUCUUGGCAUUUCAGAUGGCACCGUGAAUAAAGAAUUAAGCAGAGAUCA